UCCAAAGAUUUAAGCCGUCUUUGGUCUUGUGGUCUUCUUUUGGAUUUGCUUCCUUGUAAUUGAGUUCUUCAUUCAAAGCAAUGCACCAAAAAGUGCAAGGUAAAUAUAUCAAAAGAUAUGGGACUACCAAAUAUAAAUAGCAAGACCCCAAGAAUUUGAUACUACUGACCUGUUUGAUGAACUGAUGCAUCAGUUAAUGCUACAUGUCAUUCAUUGUCCGAGUCUAACAACCAUCGAUGGUAACAUGCUUCCUUCAAAGUAUUGUAAACUAUUUUAUCAACGAUUUGAAUUUGUUCGUAUGAUGUAGUAAAAGUAGCU
RNAcentral lists this long non-coding RNA (318 nucleotides) under Panax ginseng (ginseng). RNAcentral's name for it is "long non-coding RNA (PGIN_LNC009945)". The record is from RNAcentral. Lineage: Eukaryota; Viridiplantae; Streptophyta; Magnoliopsida; Apiales; Araliaceae.